UACAGAGGGUGCAAGCGUUGCUCGGAUUUACUGGGCGUAAAGCGUACGCAGACGGUGAGAAAGGUCGGAUGUGAAAGCCCCGGGCUCAACCCGGGAACUGCAUCCGAAACCAUCCCGCUAGAGUAUGGGAGAGGGAAGUGGAAUUCCUGGUGUAGAGGUGAAAUUCGUAGAUAUCAGGAGGAACAUCUGCGGCGAAGGCGGCUUCCUGGCCCAUUACUGACGUUCAGGUACGAAAGCGUAGGUAGCAAACAGG
Molecule: unclassified non-coding RNA, 253 nt
Filed under: uncultured Pseudobdellovibrionaceae bacterium
Lineage: Bacteria; Pseudomonadati; Bdellovibrionota; Bdellovibrionia; Bdellovibrionales; Pseudobdellovibrionaceae
Description: uncultured Bdellovibrionaceae bacterium contains 16S-23S intergenic spacer region
Rfam family: Bacterial small subunit ribosomal RNA
Source: RNAcentral